RNAcentral lists this long non-coding RNA (284 nucleotides) under Setaria viridis. RNAcentral describes it as "long non-coding RNA (SVIR_LNC001563)". The record is from RNAcentral. Lineage: Eukaryota; Viridiplantae; Streptophyta; Magnoliopsida; Poales; Poaceae.
UUUAUAUAACUUAUGUGUUGGAAAGUUUGGGGUGGUAUGGUGUUUAAUGGUGGAGGUUUGAAUUGGAGUGGGUUAUAUUUAUUUCCUGGUGAGAAUGGAUUGGUGAGGUUACAAUCCAAUUAACAGGGCUAGUGGUAUCCCCGAAGAUUCUGGUUGCAUCCUCGGAUGAAAGUAGAUGAGGAAAGGUUGCUAUCAUUUAUGCCAUCUCCCAUGACCAAGCUCUCACGUCAUUUCACAGUGGAUAGGUAUGGAUUUCGCCGUUCCAAACAUGGGUGUCUUACCAC